Molecule: long non-coding RNA, 408 nt
Organism: Gadus chalcogrammus (walleye pollock)
Lineage: Eukaryota; Metazoa; Chordata; Actinopteri; Gadiformes; Gadidae
Exons: 3
Source: RefSeq, a predicted model, not a curated record
AUCAGAGUGAAAACAACUGUGUAACCCAACCACCAAAAAGCAGCAGGCCAAACAGAGCGGACUUCAUCAUCUCCUCGGCCAAGCAGCACUACCUUCGCCAUUCCCGAUACGUUCCUGGAGUAAAUCCUUUUACCGGACAUCAAACAAUUGAAGGAAACAUCUGGGACAGAACAUUGGGCAUCGCUGCGUGCCAGGAGUCAGAACACACCUCUUCCAAAGACGGCGACGGAUGGAGGAGAACUGUGAACGCAAAACCUCCCGUACCCAGGGCUGAGAGGGCUGUCUUUCUGUCCAAGAAGCCAUGCGUCGGAACAGUGUUCGGGCGAGUAGACUGGUCCGCCAAGUACGGUGGCAAUCAUAACCGCUAGCAGGUAGCCUUAGGAUGCUACACUCAGAGGUUGAGGGGAG